Long non-coding RNA from Arvicola amphibius (Eurasian water vole), 580 nucleotides. RefSeq lists it as uncharacterized. NCBI's taxonomy places the organism in Eukaryota, Metazoa, Chordata, Mammalia, Rodentia, Cricetidae. The transcript has 2 exons. The record is from RefSeq and is a predicted model, not a curated record.
CCAGUAAGCAGUAGAACUUGGCAGCUUUGGACACGUGGUUCUGUCUUUAGAGUUAAGGAUAGAAGAAACAGGUUAUGGAAUUUACAUCCAUGUAAAGAAAGCCAUUGAGGCCAGGUACGAUUCAGGGAUGUCCCUGAAUGGAGGCCUAGUAGAGAGGUUACUUCAUGAAGCUGUAAAGUUGAAGCCUGAAGCCUGGAUUUCCUUGAAGAACGCAAGAUGUUAGAGAUGCCACAGUAAGGGGAUCUCUUCUGAGGAGAGCUGCUAACAGGGACUGGAACCAGCUCAAGAGAAAAAGUGUGUUGCAGUCAACAAAGCUAAAAUGAGUUGGAGAUCUGAAGAGUGUUUUGACAUUUGAUAUGGAGAUGCAGUGUUUGGAAUUUACCCAGCUGGUUUUCAGUAUUGUUUUGGUGCAGUAUUUCCUCACUCUGCUCCCUUCCUUGAAUUUUGAAAUGGAUUUAGAAUUCUCAGCUACUCCUCCAGCACGUCUCCCUGUAUGCUGACAUGGUCCUGCCAUGAUGGUAAUGAACUGACCUCUGAAACUGUAAGCAAGCUCCGUCAAUUAAAUGUUUUCCUUAUUAGA